Culex quinquefasciatus (southern house mosquito) is the source of this 753-nucleotide long non-coding RNA. RefSeq lists it as uncharacterized. NCBI's taxonomy places the organism in Eukaryota, Metazoa, Arthropoda, Insecta, Diptera, Culicidae. The record is from RefSeq and is a predicted model, not a curated record. The transcript is spliced from 3 exons.
AUUCAUUUCGUGACCCCAAAGAGUAUUGAAAAUAGAGCGCGGACUUGGAACAAAUUUCUCCCAAAUUCAUGGUACCAAUCAAAGGUACAACCGUAACGCCUUCAACGAGGCGUUACUGUUUUGAGGCGUUAUGAAAAUGAAAGGUGCAAUUUUUCCAUCGCAGCAAACUCCUAAAAAAAUCGGUCAAAACAAACAAAUCUCUCACAUAACGACCCAACCUGCACAAAAUAAUCUGAAUACAUUCCAAGAAGGUGUGCUUUUCCAGCCAGCUUACGAAGGAGGUAGCUUGGGAUGUGGUUUAAUUUUGGGAGAAAAAGGAACGUCGCUUAAGCAGAGGUGAACGGGCUCAUUUGAUUUUUGCUUAGUACAGUGCCUCACGGGAAUCAAGGACGAAGUCACCACGUAAGGAAUGUGCCUCCAGACGCCCUUCAUUGAUGCACGCGAUUGCUCGGAGAACUUGGACCAUGAAGAGAAUUCGUAAGAAGCUUCCGGCCAACACGUCGAAUGAGCCAUUGUGACCAAUUUUGAUGAUGGGCACGAUCUAGAUCAUGUUUCUAGCUGCUGGAGCUGAGUUGUGGCAACAGUUGGAGCUUUUAAAUCAUGCUGCGUUUUGGAACCUAGGCCCCUCUGGCCUUUAUGACACUACUUCUGACCACAUGCCCCUGAACCACAACUAACUUGCAAACAACGUGAUUAGAUCGUCCCACUGUAUAACUUGAUAAAAACGCUUGAAUAAAGAAAACACAUCUCAAU